RNAcentral lists this ribosomal RNA (501 nucleotides) under Monticomorpha semele. Its description in RNAcentral is "partial 16S ribosomal RNA". It matches the Rfam family "Bacterial large subunit ribosomal RNA", at positions 1844 to 2608 of the family's 2925-position model. The record is from RNAcentral. Lineage: Eukaryota; Metazoa; Arthropoda; Insecta; Phasmatodea; Pseudophasmatidae.
UAUUUGAGAUCUGACCUGCCCAAUGAUUUUAUUUAAUGGCCGCGGUAUAUUGACCGUGCAAAGGUAGCAUAAUCAUUAGUUUAUUAAUUGUGGACUUGUAUGAAUGGUUGGACGAGAUAUUAACUGUCUCACAUUUAUUAAUUGAAUUUAAUUUUUUAGUUAAAAAGCUUAAAUCUUAUUGUAAGACGAGAAGACCCUAUAGAUCUUUAUUUUUAUUAAUUAAUUAUAUUUUAGUAUAUUUUUAUAAUUAUUUUCUAAAUUUUUUGUUGGGGUGACACGGAGAUAUAAUUAACUCUUUAUUUUUUAUACAAUUAUUUUUGAUUUCUUGACCUUUUAUUAUUGUUUUAAGAUAUAGAUACCUUAGGGAUAACAGCGUAAUUUUUUUUGAGAGUUCUUAUCGACAAUAAAGAUUGCGACCUCGAUGUUGGAUUAAGAAUAUUUUAAGGUGUAGGUGCUUUAUAAGUUAGGUCUGUUCGACCUUUAAAUUCUUACGUGAUCUGA